This 250-nucleotide ribosomal RNA is filed under the name uncultured bacterium. RNAcentral's name for it is "partial 16S ribosomal RNA". It matches the Rfam family "Bacterial small subunit ribosomal RNA", at positions 524 to 773 of the family's 1533-position model. The record is from RNAcentral.
UACGAAGGGGGCUAGCGUUGUUCGGAAUCACUGGGCGUAAAGCGCACGUAGGCGGAUCUUUAAGUCGGGGGUGAAAUCCCGAGGCUCAACCUCGGAACUGCCUUUGAUACUGGAUAUCUAGAGUGCAGGAGAGGAAAGUGGAAUUCCUAGUGUAGCAGUGAAAUGCGUAGAUAUUAGGAGGAACACCAGUGGCGAAGGCGGCCAUCUGGACGGUGACUGACGCUGAGACGCGAAAGCGUGGGGAGCAAAC